UGUGUCCACCACUGCACUCACCCCAUCCCAUCUACUCCCAUUCACAGACAAUAUCACCUAUACAUAUGUAAUCACAUCGACAUCAUCAACAACGCAAGCGCCACCUUAAAAGAAUUAAUUCAAGAAAAAAAUUUAUUUUUGUGGUCUGAAAUCAUCGUCUACAGGAAGUUGAAGUACAAUGAAACUACUAUUUCAAAAGUUGAUGUCUUUCAUACACAUGCUAUAUCACAGAUUGCACAAGGUUGUCAGUGGGUAUUUGGUGAAGGCACUAGCAUAAUGUCCUAACGGGCCCCAUAUUUCUGUAUUACAGGCAUUGACGAUUCACAAUCUGAUUACGCUCGAGGCAGAGGACUUCAGCUAAUGAGUUAGAGGUUACUCAAAGUAGCCGAGUCAUGUAAAGUGCCAUUUGAAUUCCACAAUGCUGGCAUGUCUGGAUGUGAUGUCCAACUCGAGAAUCUUUAGGUUCAACAAAGAAAAUCAUUGGUCUUGAAUUUUCCUUGCAUGCUUCGCCACAUGUCGGACGAGAGGGUGAGCACAGCAGAUCAUCGAGACUGCAUACUAAGACUACAUAAGAGCUUGUUACCCUAGGUUGUAACGCACUUGAACAAAAACAUUGCCCCGUUUUUUCAGCACCUUUUUUUUCCGGUAAAAACUCUAAGGUUAUUAUGCUGUAGUGUUAGAGUCAAUUGACUGGAAUGACAAAAAAAUCCGCUCAAGUCGAUACACAAAGGACCCUCCUUGAAUGGGGGUGGAGAUUACCCGCCUGACCGGGUAAAUGGGUCGAGGAUGGAGCGAGAAUUAUUGUCUCCAAGCGAGUAUGGAAAACAUAGUCCCCGCUCCACUACCAGUCCUGUUUGAAGUUAAUUUCGAACUUAAAUUUUUAUUUUAAAAAAAAGAUUCAUUGUCAUUUUAAAGAGAACAUGACGUUCUUUAUAAAUUAGAAAAUAUA
Molecule: long non-coding RNA, 949 nt
Filed under: Olea europaea subsp. europaea
Lineage: Eukaryota; Viridiplantae; Streptophyta; Magnoliopsida; Lamiales; Oleaceae
Source: RNAcentral